CAUACCGCUCAGGAACACGUAGCUAACCUACCCUCGGGACAAGGAUACCCCCGGGAAACUGGGGCUAAUCCGUGAUAGGUGUGGAGGCCUGGAAUGGUUCCACUCCCAAAGGCACGGCGGUCAUGUUUGUCGUGUGCCCGAGGAUGGGGCUGCGGCUGAUCAGGCAGUUGGCGAGGUAACGGCUCACCAAACCUUUGACCGGUACGGGCCAUGAAAGUGGUAGCCCGGAGAUGGGCACUGAGACAGGGGCCCAGGCCCUACGGGGCGCAGCAGGCGCGAAAACUCCACAAUGUACGAAAGUACGAUGGAGUUACCUCGAGUGUAGUCCGAUAAGGGCUUCUUUUCCAUAGAGUAAUAUCCUGUGGGAAUAAGAGGGGGGCAAGACUGGUGUCAGCCGCCGCGGUAACACCAGCCCCUCGAGUGGUGGGGACUUUUAUUUGGCCUAAAGCGUCCGUACCUGGCUGUGUAAGUCCCCCGUUAAAUCCAGCGUCCUAAGCAUUAGACUGCCAGUGAUACUACAAAUCUAGAGGGUGGGAUAGGUGAGCGGUAUUUCAGGUGUAAAAGCUAAUUCCAUAAAUCAAAUUAGGUGCCUCAUAGGAACAAGGUGAUAAAAAAAACAACGCCUAACGAUUAG
RNAcentral lists this ribosomal RNA (634 nucleotides) under uncultured archaeon. RNAcentral describes it as "bacterial SSU rRNA". It matches the Rfam family "Archaeal small subunit ribosomal RNA", at positions 82 to 701 of the family's 1478-position model. The record is from RNAcentral.